RNAcentral lists this ribosomal RNA (497 nucleotides) under uncultured bacterium. RNAcentral describes it as "partial 16S ribosomal RNA". It matches the Rfam family "Bacterial small subunit ribosomal RNA", at positions 28 to 507 of the family's 1533-position model. The record is from RNAcentral.
GAUGAACGCUGGCGGCGUGCCUAAUACAUGCAAGUCGAGCGAACAGACGAGGAGCUUGCUCCUCUGACGUUAGCGGCGGACGGGUGAGUAACACGUGGAUAACCUACCUAUAAGACUGGGAUAACUUCGGGAAACCGGAGCUAAUACCGGAUAAUAUAUUGAACCGCAUGGUUCAAUAGUGAAAGACGGUUUUGCUGUCACUUAUAGAUGGAUCCGCGCCGCAUUAGCUAGUUGGUAAGGUAACGGCUUACCAAGGCAACGAUGCGUAGCCGACCUGAGAGGGUGAUCGGCCACACUGGAACUGAGACACGGUCCAGACUCCUAAGGGAGGGAGCAGUAGGGAAUCUUCCGCAAUGGGCGGAAGCCUGACGGAGCAAAGCCGCGUGAGUGAUGAAGGUCUUCGGAUCGUAAAACUCUGUUAUUAGGGAAGAACAAAUGUGUAAGUAAAUAUGCACGUCUUGACGGUACCUAAUCAGAAAGCCACGGCUAACUACGUG